Molecule: ribosomal RNA, 3089 nt
Filed under: Salmonella enterica
Lineage: Bacteria; Pseudomonadati; Pseudomonadota; Gammaproteobacteria; Enterobacterales; Enterobacteriaceae
Also listed under: 2 other names
Description: 23S ribosomal RNA
Rfam family: Bacterial large subunit ribosomal RNA
Source: RNAcentral
GGUUAAGCGACUAAGCGUACACGGUGGAUGCCCUGGCAGUCAGAGGCGAUGAAGGGCGUGCUAAUCUGCGAUAAGCGCCGGUAAGGUGAUAUGAACCGUUAUAACCGGCGAUACCCGAAUGGGGAAACCCAGUGUGAUUCGUCACACUAUCAUUAACUGAAUCCAUAGGUUAAUGAGGCGAACCGGGGGAACUGAAACAUCUAAGUACCCCGAGGAAAAGAAAUCAACCGAGAUUCCCCCAGUAGCGGCGAGCGAACGGGGAGGAGCCCAGAGCCUGAAUCAGCAUGUGUGUUAGUGGAAGCGUCUGGAAAGGCGCGCGAUACAGGGUGACAGCCCCGUACACAAAAGCGCAUGUGCUGUGAGCUCGAUGAGUAGGGCGGGACACGUGGUAUCCUGUCUGAAUAUGGGGGGACCAUCCUCCAAGGCUAAAUACUCCUGACUGACCGAUAGUGAACCAGUACCGUGAGGGAAAGGCGAAAAGAACCCCGGCGAGGGGAGUGAAAAAGAACCUGAAACCGUGUACGUACAAGCAGUGGGAGCCCCACCACCAAAGCAUUCUCUGGUGUUGAAGGCCCUGCAAAGCAGCAUCGCGGUGGCGGAGCGUCGUUUGCGACGCCCAACACACAAAACAAGCGGUGAAUGCUUUGGGGUGGGGUGACUGCGUACCUUUUGUAUAAUGGGUCAGCGACUUAUAUUCUGUAGCAAGGUUAACCGAAUAGGGGAGCCGGAGGGAAACCGAGUCUUAAUUGGGCGUUAAGUUGCAGGGUAUAGACCCGAAACCCGGUGAUCUAGCCAUGGGCAGGUUGAAGGUUGGGUAACACUAACUGGAGGACCGAACCGACUAAUGUUGAAAAAUUAGCGGAUGACCUGUGGCUGGGGGUGAAAGGCCAAUCAAACCGGGAGAUAGCUGGUUCUCCCCGAAAGCUAUUUAGGUAGCGCCUCGUGAAUUCAUCUCCGGGGGUAGAGCACUGUUUCGGCUAGGGGGCCAUCCCGGCUUACCAACCCGAUGCAAACUGCGAAUACCGGAGAAUGUUAUCACGGGAGACACACGGCGGGUGCUAACGUCCGUCGUGAAGAGGGAAACAACCCAGACCGCCAGCUAAGGUCCCAAAGUCAUGGUUAAGUGGGAAACGAUGUGGGAAGGCCCAGACAGCCAGGAUGUUGGCUUAGAAGCAGCCAUCAUUUAAAGAAAGCGUAAUAGCUCACUGGUCGAGUCGGCCUGCGCGGAAGAUGUAACGGGGCUAAACCAUGCACCGAAGCUGCGGCAGCGAACGUAUCACUUAAAGCGAUUCAGCGGGUUACGAUUGACGGAGCGAAGCGACGUCAAAGCGUAUACAAAGUCGAGUCGGUUUAAGGAUACGUUCGUUGGGUAGGGGAGCGUUCUGUAAGCCCGUGAAGGUGGCCUGUGAGGGUUGCUGGAGGUAUCAGAAGUGCGAAUGCUGACAUAAGUAACGAUAAAGCGGGUGAAAAGCCCGCUCGCCGGAAGACCAAGGGUUCCUGUCCAACGUUAAUCGGGGCAGGGUGAGUCGACCCCUAAGGCGAGGCCGAAAGGCGUAGUCGAUGGGAAACGGGUUAAUAUUCCCGUACUUGGUGUUACUGCGAAGGGGGGACGGAGAAGGCUAUGUUGGCCGGGCGACGGUUGUCCCGGUUUAAGCGUGUAGGUGUGUGUUCCAGGUAAAUCCGGUUCACUUUAACACUGAGGCGUGACGACGAGGCACUACGGUGCUGAAGCAACAAAUGCCCUGCUUCCAGGAAAAGCCUCUAAGCAUCAGGUAACACGAAAUCGUACCCCAAACCGACACAGGUGGUCAGGUAGAGAAUACCAAGGCGCUUGAGAGAACUCGGGUGAAGGAACUAGGCAAAAUGGUGCCGUAACUUCGGGAGAAGGCACGCUGACACGUAGGUGAAGUGAUUUACUCAUGGAGCUGAAGUCAGUCGAAGAUACCAGCUGGCUGCAACUGUUUAUUAAAAACACAGCACUGUGCAAACACGAAAGUGGACGUAUACGGUGUGACGCCUGCCCGGUGCCGGAAGGUUAAUUGAUGGGGUCAGCGUAAGCGAAGCUCCUGAUCGAAGCCCCGGUAAACGGCGGCCGUAACUAUAACGGUCCUAAGGUAGCGAAAUUCCUUGUCGGGUAAGUUCCGACCUGCACGAAUGGCGUAAUGAUGGCCAGGCUGUCUCCACCCGAGACUCAGUGAAAUUGAACUCGCUGUGAAGAUGCAGUGUACCCGCGGCAAGACGGAAAGACCCCGUGAACCUUUACUAUAGCUUGACACUGAACAUUGAGCCUUGAUGUGUAGGAUAGGUGGGAGGCUUUGAAGUGUGGACGCCAGUCUGCAUGGAGCCGACCUUGAAAUACCACCCUUUAAUGUUUGAUGUUCUAACGUGGACCCGUAAUCCGGGUUGCGGACAGUGUCUGGUGGGUAGUUUGACUGGGGCGGUCUCCUCCUAAAGAGUAACGGAGGAGCACGAAGGUUGGCUAAUCCUGGUCGGACAUCAGGAGGUUAGUGCAAUGGCAUAAGCCAGCUUGACUGCGAGCGUGACGGCGCGAGCAGGUGCGAAAGCAGGUCAUAGUGAUCCGGUGGUUCUGAAUGGAAGGGCCAUCGCUCAACGGAUAAAAGGUACUCCGGGGAUAACAGGCUGAUACCGCCCAAGAGUUCAUAUCGACGGCGGUGUUUGGCACCUCGAUGUCGGCUCAUCACAUCCUGGGGCUGAAGUAGGUCCCAAGGGUAUGGCUGUUCGCCAUUUAAAGUGGUACGCGAGCUGGGUUUAGAACGUCGUGAGACAGUUCGGUCCCUAUCUGCCGUGGGCGCUGGAGAACUGAGGGGGGCUGCUCCUAGUACGAGAGGACCGGAGUGGACGCAUCACUGGUGUUCGGGUUGUCAUGCCAAUGGCACUGCCCGGUAGCUAAAUGCGGAAGAGAUAAGUGCUGAAAGCAUCUAAGCACGAAACUUGCCCCGAGAUGAGUUCUCCCUGAGACUUAGAGUCUCCUGAAGGAACGUUGAAGACGACGACGUUGAUAGGCCGGGUGUGUAAGCGCAGCGAUGCGUUGAGCUAACCGGUACUAAUGAACCGUGAGGCUUAACCUU